AAUUUUCAUUUUUAUCCUUGCUCUAGUGGGAGUCUUUUAUCCAUAUAAUCGAGGAGUCUUGUUCACUGCUCUGGUUGUCAUUUAUGCCCUUACAUCUGGAAUUGCUGGCUACACUGCUGCUUCUUUCUAUUGUCAGCUUGAAGGAACAAAUUAGGUGAGAAACUUAUUACUAACGGGAAGCUUGUUCUGUGGGCCUCUUUUUGUGACAUUUUGCUUUCUCAACACUGUCGCAAUUGCUUAUCAAGCCACUGCAGCAUUGCUAUUUGGAACCAUUGUGGUGAUUUUUCUGAUAUGGGCUCUGGUCACGUCUCCUUUAUUAGUAUUAGGAGGUAUUGCUGGAAAGAAUAGUAAGGCGGAGUUUCAAGCACCUUGUCGCACCACAAAAUAUCCCAGAGAGAUCCCGCCAUUGCCUUGGUAUAGGCAAACUCUUCCUCAGAUAUUGUUUUCUCUAAAACUGUCUCAUUUUUUAGGUCGCAUUGAAUGAAAUCAAAAGCAGUCCCUUGAUAUUGUUUGUGAAAGACAUAGAGAAGUCUAUAGCUGGAAAUACUGAUAUAUAUACUGCCUUGAAGAGUAAGCUUGAGAAUUUGCCAACAAACAUUGUAGUAAUUGGUUCUCAUACACAGAUGGAUAACCACAAGGAAAAAUCCUACCCUGGCAGUCUUCUGUUCACAAAGUUUAGCUUCAUAUUCUGAUCACGAAAAUGUUGUUCCUCUUUCACUACAGUGGUGAGGGCCAUGUGAGUUGUUUGAACUGAAAUAGUGUUAUCGACGGUCUUCGACAGAGAUAAGCUUAUUGGUUCUAUCAGUGUGCACAAGAACAUCGGGAUUUUG
Long non-coding RNA from Hibiscus syriacus, 830 nucleotides. RefSeq lists it as uncharacterized. Lineage: Eukaryota; Viridiplantae; Streptophyta; Magnoliopsida; Malvales; Malvaceae. The record is from RefSeq and is a predicted model, not a curated record. The transcript is spliced from 3 exons.